GGAUGACUUGUGGCUGGGGGUGAAAGGCCAAUCAAACCGGGAGAUAGCUGGUUCUCCCCGAAAGCUAUUUAGGUAGCGCCUCGUGAAUUCAUCUCCGGGGGUAGAGCACUGUUUCGGCAAGGGGGUCAUCCCGACUUACCAACCCGAUGCAAACUGCGAAUACCGGAGAAUGUUAUCACGGGAGACACACGGCGGGUGCUAACGUCCGUCGUGAAGAGGGAAACAACCCAGACCGCCAGCUAAGGUCCCAAAGUCAUGGUUAAGUGGGAAACGAUGUGGGAAGGCCCAGACAGCCAGGAUGUUGGCUUAGAAGCAGCCAUCAUUUAAAGAAAGCGUAAUAGCUCACUGGUCGAGUCGGCCUGCGCGGAAGAUGUAACGGGGCUAAACCAUGCACCGAAGCUGCGGCAGCGACACUAUGUGUUGUUGGGUAGGGGAGC
This 437-nucleotide ribosomal RNA is filed under the name Escherichia coli. RNAcentral's name for it is "partial 23S ribosomal RNA". It matches the Rfam family "Bacterial large subunit ribosomal RNA", at positions 802 to 1237 of the family's 2925-position model. The record is from RNAcentral. Lineage: Bacteria; Pseudomonadati; Pseudomonadota; Gammaproteobacteria; Enterobacterales; Enterobacteriaceae.